Zootermopsis nevadensis is the source of this 1967-nucleotide non-coding RNA. The record is from RefSeq and is a predicted model, not a curated record. NCBI's taxonomy places the organism in Eukaryota, Metazoa, Arthropoda, Insecta, Blattodea, Termopsidae.
UUUAAAUUGCCUAAAGUUAUGACAUAAGUUGAAUUUUAAUCUUCAGUUAUGUAGCAGUUAAGCUGUUUUAUAUUAUAGGCACGACAGAUUUCAACAUUUUAAGACAUACUACUUAUCGUAGUAUGGAUAUUUUGAAAUUGAUGAAAAGACAUUGGUUUUUCGCUGGAACAAUGAUUGCUAUAUUUCUUGCUGAAAUUUUCCCAGAAUUAGGAGCAAUGGAAGGUCCACUGAAUCCAGAAGUUACUGUUAAGUAUGGCGCUGUCUCACUCAUCUUCCUUGUCAGUGGACUGUCAAUAAAGCUUGAAGAACUUUUGAGUGCUGUCACAAAUGUUAAAAUACAUAUUUUUAUCCAGUUAUUUUCACAAGUAUUCACCCCUAUAUUUAUGAAGAUACUGACAAUAUUUCUUUGGAUGAUUGGUGUGAAUGAAUGGAUUUUAAAAGGCCACUGGAUCUUUCUUUUUGAUUCUGACAGAUUAGUUACUGUUGGUUGCAUGCCACCCCCUGUGUCAUCUGCUGUCAUCCUUACAAGAGCUGUUGGUGGAAAUGAGGCAGCUGCAAUUUUUAACUCUGUGUUGGGGUGCCUUAUUGGAAUCGUACUUACUCCUUUCACUCUUCUGUUUUUUCUGAGGGCAACAACUCUUGUCCCUGUAUUGAGCACCAUAUUUCAACUUGCAGUCACAGUUAUGGUACCUCUUGCAGUAGGACAACUGAUCUGUUUUGCCACCGACUUUAAAGCAUCAAGUUAUCCUAUCGGCAUACUUGGACAAAUUGCCCUUCUCUUCAUAAUCUUCAUAACCUUCUGCCAAGCAUUCCAAAACCAAGAUAUGCAAAUGAAUGCACAUGAUAUUUUGAUUACAGUUUUGCUUGUGGUUUUGAUCCUUGUGUUCAUCACAUGGCUGGUGUUCUGGAUUUCUUCCAAGAUGACCGGAUUGUUUUGUCCGGAGGAUGUCAUCGCCAUAAUGUUUUGCUGCACUCAUAAAUCUCUAACACUUGGCAUGCCUAUGUUACGCAUAUUAUAUGGUGGAUAUGCUCACUUGUCCACUAUAUCUUUACCUUUACUAGUGUAUCACCCUACCCAGAUCAUAAUGGGAGGACUGCUAGUAGCACAUCUUCAAGACUGGAUGAGAUCUAGACGGCAAUCUAGGACAAGACUAGAAGCUUAAGACUGCAUCAUGGCUAGCUACUUAUACUUCCAGAUAAUACUUCUCUUGAGGAGCCAAUCUUCUUCUUGAAGUAAAAUGACAUGGCUAUAAACCAAUCUGUUCAGAGUGUAAGUAGAAGUGGAGGAUCAGGGAUACAUCUGUUUUGUUAGUAUGAGACUGUUUCAUAUGAUUCAUAAUAUUCAUGCAGUGAACCACAUCAGUGAUGGUUAUUUUUGGCUUGGGUCAUUGAAAUGUAAUGGUCAUGCUGUGAACUUGGAUGUUUAUUUUGGAUUUGUGUUGUUGUAGCUGCCUGACAAGAGUAUGGAGGUUUCAUAUACUUCAUAACAGUUUUCAAUUUUGUAAAGCUUUAUUUCUUAGGUUGCAGAGUUAUUUAACAUCAUCAGAUUACGUGGAGAUGCUUCAAGCAUAGUACUUGCAUUUAGUGUUAGAAAUUCUUUGGUUUACUAACAUUUUUUUAUCUUCAGUAAAUAUGUGAAUGAUAUCUGGAAAUUUUAGCAUGUUACAUAUAAACCUCAAAUCCUACAUGUUACAUAUAAUUUAAAAUAAAUUAAAGUAACUCAAAAGUAAUGUUUUAUGUGACUCUCAAGUAUAAGUUGUGAACUUAAGUUAUAAGGUUGAAUAUUAAUGAAUAUCUGUAAUGGAAACAAUUUUUCAUUCAAUUUUAUCCAGCUUUCGAAAAUGCUUGAGAAUAAUAAGGUUGUGUGCCCAUGAUAUGGUUUAUUUGUAAAGUUGUCUAGUACUUUUCAAUAAGGGUGACUGUUUAGAUGACAUUUAUGCCUUAUAAAGGAUCUACUGAGAAACUUC